AGGAGAUGAACAAGAAAAAGAGGAACAGUAAGAGAAACAGAUAGGAGAGGAACAAGAAAAAGAGGAACAGAUAGGAGAGGAACAAGAAAAAGAGGAACAGAUAGGAGUGGAACAGGAAAGAGAGGAACAAGAAAAAGAUGAACAAGAAAAAGAGGAACAGGUAAGAGGAACAGAUAGGAGAGGAACGAGAAAAAGAGGAACAGAUAGGAGUGGAACAAGAAAAAGAGGAACAGGUAAGAGGAACAGACAGGAGAGAAACAAGAAAAAGAGGAAGAUAGGAGAUGAACAAGAAAAAGAGGAACAGGUAUGAGGAACAGAUACCGUUUUCUAUGCAAGCGAGCUAGUAAGUGAGGUUUCUCUCUCUCUCUCAAUAGUCACAAAGUAUUUUUAAACUACAUUAGUAGAAGUGGCGGACAAAUACCGCCACCUGUUUUAGGGUGGUUAGUGAUGGUAGUGAAAAGGCAUAUACAUACAUUUGUUUUGGUGGCAGCGGCGACAGAAGCGGCCAUUGGGAGGUGAGCAGUCUUGCCAACGAUCCGACGCUUGGUUAGCUAUUAGCCCACGCAUGCAGGUCCACCAUGCAUGGAUAUUAUUUUUUAGAACAUGCACCUUUACCUAAUACUAUACCCCACCCUCAGCACAGCAGCCGUUGGGCUGGGUGUUCUAAAAAAAAAAUAAUAACCACGCAUGGUGGACCUGGUCUCACAUGCAUGGGCUAAUCGCUAACCUAGCGUACCAUUGCUAACCAAGUGUACCAUCGCUAACCGGAUCGUUGGCAACACUGCUUACCUCCCAAUGGCCGCCGCGGUUAAAUUCUAGUGUUUGCCCAUACUCCCCCCUCCCCCCUAUACAAGCCUGGGGACCUGGUGGGAAUGCAGGGUUUCGGGUGGGGGACACGAAAUCCGUCGCAUUCGCGUAUUUUUUUAGUGGGGGGGAUAAAAACUCCCUAGAUCUAGGGAAAUUCCCUAAAUUUAGGGAAUUUUUCCUCACAUCACUACUAAAAUAAGCGUUUGCAACGAAUUUAGUGUUUCCCAUACGAAAACCACGCACUCACUGGAUCCCCAAGCUUGUUUUGGGAGAGAAGCGUAGUGAACCCACCAAACGAUGCUCACCUCACCAUCUGGCGUGGCACUGGCGGCCAUCUGUGCUCACAUAAACCGCCUCCACCACACUCAUGCCCUCUCACUAGUAGGUUGUCACCUCAUCGCAAGGUUUCUGUCCUCCAAGUAGAGUCCGUGGCACCAAACACAGUGUAUCUUCAUUGUUUAUCACUGACACAAAUAAAACCACCGGCUAGCCGGGAUCCAUCCAACACCGCGCCUUUAACACUACUGCAGGAAGUGCAGGCUCUCGAACCUCUUGCCCGAGCUGUUCGAACACGUGAAUCCUUACUGACCGGAUUCUGAAUCUGCUUCACGGGCUCGUAUUCACAGUAUACAAGGUGAUUGUGGAUAUUGACUCCGCACCUCCAGAAUACGAUAAUACGCCUCAAUAUAUCAUAGUAAAAAAAAAAAAUAAGUACUUAAAAGUAAAGAUGCCGAAUUAAUCCCCUUCCCGAUCUUGGGGGACCUGCGUGAACUCGGGGUAUUUGGGUGGGGGAGCAUAUUUAAACUACUCCAACCGAACUUUACGACCUGCUAACAUGGGGGCUUCGCCCCCCUCGACCCCCCUCCUAACCAAGGGGGGGGCUGCGCCCCCCCUGGACCCCCCCCUCUUAAAGGUGCGUGUUCUAAAAAAAAAGUAACCACGCGUGGUGGACCUGGUCUCACAUGCGUGGGAUAAUGGCUAACUAAGCGUACCAUCGCUAACCAAGCAUACCAUCGGUAAUAGUAUUAGGUAAAGGUGCGUGUUCUAAAAAAAAAAUAACCACGCGUGGUGGACCUGGUUUCACAUGCGUGGGUUAAUGGCUAACUAAGCGUACCAUCGCUAACCGAGAGUACCAUUGGAAAUAGUAUUAGGUAAAGGUGCGUGUUCCAAAAAAAUAAUAAUAAUAAAUAAGCACGCGUGGUGGACCUGGUCUCACCUAGCAUAUCAUUGCUAACCGGAUCGUUGGCAACGCUGCUCAUAUUGCAAUGGCGUCGCCAUGUAAACACAUCGUCCGUAUGUAUAAUACGCCCUAAAGUACAAUAUGGAGGUGUAAUAUCGUAUUUUCGAGGUGCGGAGUGAUUUUCAAUAAUUACCUUGCGUGGUUUGCGUACGUUGUAAAAAAAACCGGAAUGUAUGAAAUUUCCCUACAUCUAAGUAAUUGUAAGGAAUUUCCCUACAUCUAUGGUAUUUUUCAACCCCUCAUAACUCAAAAACUACGCAUUUACGACGCAUUUCAUGUUUAUCACCGCAUUCCCCGAAGUCUCAAUGGCCCCCUAGUCAAUUUUGGUUGCGAGGGGUGAGUAUGGGCAAACACUAGAAUAAUACUGCCGCCGCCGCCACCAAAACAAAUGUAUGUAUGUGCCCUUUCAUUCGACCCCCCCCACCCAUUGAACAUAUGUUCUAGACCAUUUCCGAUGCUCAACAGAUUAAUUUGAAUACACCGAGGUAUAAACAAUAUAGAAUUUAUGUCCCUUGAGCUUUACAGACCACACCUACUAAUCCUACAUAUUAACCAAAGAAAAAGAGGAACAGAUAAGAGGAACAAGAAAAAGAGGAACAGGGAAGAGGAAAAGAUAGGAGAGGAAGAAGAAAAAGAGUAACAGAUAGGAGAUGAAGAUGAAAAAGAGGAACAGGUAAGAGGAACAGGAAGGAGAGGAAGAAGAAAAAGAGGAAGAUAGGAGAGGAAGAAGAAAAAGAGGGACAGAUAGGAGAGGAAGAAGAAAUAGAGGAGCAGGAGAGGAAGAAGAAAAAGAGGAUCAGGUAAGAGGAACAGGAAAGAGUAAGAAGAGAAAGAGGAUCAGGUAAGAGGAACAGGAAAGAGUAAGAAGAGAAAGAGGAUCAGGUAAGAGGAACAGGAAAGAGUAAGAAGAGAAAGAGGAGCAGGUAAGAGGAGCACACGCUGGGCCUCCCCUUCCUGGCGUACCUUCAUGGGCGCGUUGAGGUAGACCCGCUCCGCCGCCUUCUCGAAGUCGUCAAAGGAGUCCAGGUAGACCAUGGUGGACGGAGGGCGCGGCACACACGCAUGCACACCUGCUUCCCACGGCCACACCUGCUGCACACCUGACUGCCGCCUCCUGCCAGCUCUAAA
Eriocheir sinensis (Chinese mitten crab) is the source of this 3175-nucleotide long non-coding RNA. RefSeq lists it as uncharacterized. The record is from RefSeq and is a predicted model, not a curated record. The transcript is spliced from 2 exons. NCBI's taxonomy places the organism in Eukaryota, Metazoa, Arthropoda, Malacostraca, Decapoda, Varunidae.